This is a non-coding RNA of Podarcis lilfordi (Lilford's wall lizard), 1433 nucleotides long. The record is from the annotation of a GenBank genome assembly. Lineage: Eukaryota; Metazoa; Chordata; Lepidosauria; Squamata; Lacertidae.
UGCAUGAAAAACCCAUUUCUUUAUUUUUUGCACCGACGGUUCGAUUCUGUAGCUGUUUCCCUGCCUGCAGUUGCUCUUGCAGCUGCGUCUCUCCUCCGCACCCAAAAUCCCGUGACCCAGAGUGCCUUAGCACAAUAUAUGCUCUGAUCCCUUGCACGAAUGUGUCGUUGGGUUCCAUUGAUAUCGGUAGGGCGGAAGGCAGGGAGGCCGACAGCAGGUGGCGCCAAAGAGCCAGCGACAGGCACAGCCAACUGACACCAGCCUUGAUCCCCUGUUACGGAGUUCUACAAGGGCCACACUGAGACCAAGGAGGAAGAAGCCGACAGACAGCGCCAUCCCUUGGACUGGAUGCAAGUGGGAACGCAUGUCAAGGAUGGAGGUUGGUGGGAUGGAGCCCCAUUUGCCCUAAAAACAGGCCGGGGGUCCACCGACUGCGACGAGAAACCUGGUCAGGUUCACUUUGGCGUUACCGCCUGCGUUACUCAGGGAAGUACAGGAACAGGCCUGUGUGGAAAUGUUAUGGCUUCUUUCCUAGCUCGGCAGGAUUCCCCCCCCCCAUGCAUAAUACGAUUAAAUUGGUUACAGUGGUACCUCUGGUUAUGUACUUAAUUCGUUCCGGAGGUCCGUUCUUAACCUGAAACUGUUCUUAACCUGAGGUACCACUUUAGCUAAUGGGGCCUCCCACUGUUUCCACAUGAUUUCUGUUCUCAUCCUGAAGCAAAGUUCUUAACCCAAGGUCCUAUUUCUGGGUUAGCGGAGUCUGUAACCUGAACCCUCUGUAACCCGAGGUAAAGGGACCCCAGACCAUUAGGUCCAGUCGUGGCCGACUCUGGGGUUGCAGCGCUCAUCUCGCUUUACUGGCCGAGGGAGCUGGCAUACAGCUUCCAGGUCAUGUGGCCAGCAUGACUAAGUCACUUCUGGCGAACCAGAACAGCGCAUGGAAACGCUGUUUACCUUCCCGCCGAAGCACCACUUCAGCUAAUGGGGCCUCGCGCCGCCGCUGCGUGAUUUCUGUUCUCAUCCUGAAGCAAAGUUCUUAACCCAAGGUACUAUUUCUGGGUUAGCGGAGUCUGUAACCUGAAGCGUAUGUAACCCGAGGUACCACUGUACUAAAUUUUUCUGCUUCACACACUCCUCUAAAAACAGGCUCCACAUUGUUUUUAUAAAAGUCUGGUUUAAGCAACUGCAUAGUACGCUCCUAAGCAUAGCUGUCAACGUUUCCCCUUUUUAAAGGGAAAUUCUCUUAUUCCGAAUAGGAUUCCUCGCAAGAAAAGGGAAAAGUUGACAGCUGUACUCCUAAGAUUUCCUCUCUUUUUUUUUGCAUGGGAUCUUUGCUGCUCAACUAUGUCAGACCGGGGAGUAAAACCGUUUCCAUUCCCCAUCCCACAGGAAGCACUCCCCACACCCCACACCCCUCAAAAAAGCCCCCUAAA